Molecule: ribosomal RNA, 468 nt
Filed under: uncultured bacterium
Lineage: Bacteria
Description: partial 16S ribosomal RNA
Rfam family: Bacterial small subunit ribosomal RNA
Source: RNAcentral
GACGGACGCUGGCGGCGUGCUUAACACAUGCAAGUCGAACGGCAAGGCCCUGCUUUUGUGGGGUGCUCGAGUGGCGAACGGGUGAGUAACACGUGAGUAACCUGCCCUUGACUUUGGGAUAACUUCAGGAAACUGGGGCUAAUACCGGAUAGGAGCUCCUGCUGCAUGGUGGGGGUUGGAAAGUUUCGGCGGUUGGGGAUGGACUCGCGGCUUAUCAGCUUGUUGGUGGGGUAGUGGCUUACCAAGGCUUUGACGGGUAGCCGGCCUGAGAGGGUGACCGGCCACAUUGGGACUGAGAGACGGCCCAGACUCCUACGGGAGGCAGCAGUGGGGAAUAUUGCACAAUGGGCGGAAGCCUGAUGCAGCAACGCCGCGUGCGGGAUGACGGCCUUCGGGUUGUAAACCGCUUUCGCCUGUGACGAAGCGUGAGUGACGGUAAUGGGUAAAGAAGCACCGGCUAACUACGUG